Molecule: long non-coding RNA, 718 nt
Filed under: Homo sapiens (human)
Lineage: Eukaryota; Metazoa; Chordata; Mammalia; Primates; Hominidae
Description: non-protein coding LINC02432:17
Source: RNAcentral
GGCAACCCGCUCCGGUGUCCUUCCAUGCUGUGGAGGCUCUGUUGUUUCGCUCUUUCUACUGCUUACUCUUCGGGUCCACACUGCUUUUAUGAGCUGUAACACUCACCCUGAAGGUUUGCAACUUGACUCCUGAAGCCAGCAAGACCACGAGCCCCAGGGAGGAACGAACAACUCCAGACGCGCUGCCUUAAGAGCUGUAACACUCACCGAGAAGGUCUGCAGCUUCACUCCUGAGCCAGCGAGGCCACGAACCCACCAGAAGGAAGAAACUCUGAACACAUCCGAACAUCAGAAGGAACAAACUCCAGACGUGCCACCUUAAGAGCUGUUAACACUCACCGCGAGGGUCCGCGGCUUCAUUUUUGAAGUCAGUGAGACCAAGAACCAACCAAUUCGGGACACAAUACCAACUCUUUCAUGCCAGGAGAAGCCUCCUUAAAAAAUUUCGGUGAUUAACAGCAGCACAUGGGUCAAAAUCUCCUGAAAGUUGAGCAGGGGAGCUGUAGAAGAAUUCCUCCUUUUCUCGCAGAUGAAAUCUUAUGAUAUAGCAGGGGUUACCUGGCCAAGAAGGAACACAGAGGAGAACAAAGAAAAUUCAAGGAACUAAAUUCCUUCUCCACCUCAACCACCAGCAUUGAUACUCCAUCACUUAUGUACUGCAUCAAGCCGUCCUCAGAGGUGAGGAAGGUGCUGUCAAGACUAGAAGCAUGUGUCCCUC